Clarias gariepinus (North African catfish) is the source of this 2179-nucleotide long non-coding RNA. RefSeq lists it as uncharacterized. The record is from RefSeq and is a predicted model, not a curated record. NCBI's taxonomy places the organism in Eukaryota, Metazoa, Chordata, Actinopteri, Siluriformes, Clariidae. The transcript has 2 exons.
CACACACACACACACACACACACACACACACAGAUCUGAAGCGGGACAUGAGAGUUAAAUCUGGGAUUAUUUCCGGACUGCCUUCAUCUCUCUCUCUUCUUCUUCUUCCUCUUCUUCUUGUGCUGGAUGGAGUCUCCUGUUACAAAGCAGACGUAAAGCACUGAGAGAAGAUCCUUCUGCCCUGACGCCCACACACCCUAUUACCGAUCGUCUCAGAUCAGUCGAGUCCAACAUGAGCCGAGCUGGACCUCCAGCUGUACAUCUGGGUCCAGAACAUCAGAGAAACCGGGAGGAACCUCACAAGGUGUUAAAAGAGAGCCGGAAAAGAUUCUGUAAUGUGGAGCUGUCUAAUGUUCCCUCACGGGGUUCUACAGUUCAGGAGACCGAGUGCAGAAAUCCCGAGGAACAUCAAAAGAGCAUUAGAAGGAGAGGAUCUUUAAUAAUAUCUAAUCAUCAUCCUGAAUUCUCCUCAUAAUGCAGAUGCAGAGACUGAACCUAAACACACUGCCACUGUACAGUAGAACCAGGACAUGACACCACCAUCACACUCCAUCAAAUCCCACUUUUAUAGAAUCUUAGAAACUGCUGUGGAAAAUAAACAAAUGAUAAAACAACAUCUCAACAUAACUCUAGUACUCUACAACACAUCGUCAGUCACUUGUUCCUUUACAAUGGUGGAUCUCCAAAGGUAUGCAGAGACUGUGCUCUACUGAGCCUGUGUUUCUAAGUACCAUCAGCAGGGGGCGCCUCAUUAACAUCUACAGCACGAUGGACCUCUGAAUCGCUGGAAGAGUUUUCCAUAUGAGAAGAAGCUGUAGAUCACAUCACAGAGGAGAACAAAACACGGACACCAUAAGGAUCUCACUUCUCCACUUCUUUACACUCAUCUGGAGCUAGAACCCAUCAAGAUUUAAUACCAGCAAGUUUAAAGAGAUUAAUAAUAAUUCAGAAGAUCAAGUCCAUCACACGGUCCAGUCACUGUACACACUGAUGACACACACCAUGACAGGUUCUUCUUAAGAUCUUCAUCUUAGGUCUGUUUCGUUGUUUCAUUGUGAUCAUUUUUGUUGAACUAAACAAUUUACAGUUUAAGUCUGAUUUUAACAUAUAUUUCUUUUAAAAGCUGCUGGAAUUGUUGUCAUGGAGGAAUGUCAAGUAAAAAAUGGAAAAUGAUAAGAGAACAAAAAGAGCAGACAGUGGAGGAAAUGAAAGUGUCACGAGUCCGUCAGGAUCCACGUUUCAGAUUACAGAGACGACGGGCGAGGACUACAGCACACACCCGGUCCAGACUCUCUCACUACUGAUCACACACACCACAGCACCACACCACUCAAGGACUCACUCUGUGUGUGUGUGUGUGUGUGUGUGUUAAUCAUGUCUCUGCUUUUCUCCACUGACUUGUGCAGGUCGAGUUUACAGUUAGAAAAUGAUUUAACUGACCAGAGAUCAGCUCUAAAGUCCACAGUCUACGUCCACAACCAUCACACUGAUAAACUCUACACUACACCAUUAAUUCAAUUAGAUUCAAUUCAGUUUUAUUUGUAUAGCGCUUUUAACAAUUGACAUUGUCGCAAAGCAGCUUUACACAAUCAAAAGAAUUAUUUAAAUAAUGUUAAAGAAUUAAGCCACCUAAGGCAUGUAUACCUUUUACCUACAUUUACAUUUAUGCAUUUGGCAGACGCUCUUAUCCAGAGCGACUUACAUUUUUAUCUCAUUACACAUCUGAGCAGUUGAGGGUUAAGGGCCGCGCUCAAGGUGGUUGUGGGGUUUGAACCUGGGAUCUGCCGAACCGUAGUCCAAUGCCUUAACCACACCUCUAAAAUAUCUCACAAUAUACAUAUAUACAACAUAAUAAGUACAGUAUAUAUAACUGUAGCAUAAUAUAUAACUGAUAGAUUUUUAUAUAUCACUAGACUUUCUCAGUAUAUACAGUACAAUUUAUCUCUAUAUACAUUGCACAAAUAAUCCAGCUAAUCUUUUGUAUGUGUGUGUGUGUGUGUGUGUGUGUGUGUGUGUGUCCUACUAAAUUGUUCUGGACACCUUAUAUUCCUGUUUAUAUCCCCUUUUCCACAUCAUAGUGUUAUCUAUUCUGUAGUGUAUUCCUGCACACACUCGCUGCACUGCCAUGUUACACUGUAUUUACUGCAUUUACUGUAAAUAUAAAACUCUUCUUAUUUAA